Molecule: ribosomal RNA, 461 nt
Filed under: uncultured bacterium
Lineage: Bacteria
Description: bacterial SSU rRNA
Rfam family: Bacterial small subunit ribosomal RNA
Source: RNAcentral
GACGAACGCUGGCGGCGUGCCUAACACAUGCAAGUCGAACGAAGAAUGUUUUUCGGAAUAUUCUUAGUGGCGGACGGGUGAGUAACGCGUGAACAAUCUGCCCCGUACAAAGGGAUAGCCUCGGGAAACCGGGAUUAAAACCAUAUAACACUUAACUGCCGCAUGGUAGUGAAGUCAAAUCGAUUAAGAGGUAUGGGAUUAGUUCGCGUCUGAUUAGCUAGUUGGUGAGGUAAGGGCUCACCAAGGCGACGAUCAGUAGCCGGCCUGAGAGGGUGAACGGCCACACUGGAACUGAGACACGGUCCAGACUCCUACGGGAGGCAGCAGUGGGGAAUAUUGCACAAUGGAGGGAACUCUGAUGCAGCGACGCCGCGUGAGUGAAGAAGGUCUUCGGAUCGUAAAACUCUGUCCUUGGUGAAGAAAGGACGGUAGCCAAGGAGGAAGCCCCGGCUAACUACGUG